GACGAACGCUGGCGGCGUGCCUAAUACAUGCAAGUCGAGCGGACAGAUGGGAGCUUGCUCCCUGAUGUUAGCGGCGGACGGGUGAGUAACACGUGGGUAACCUGCCUGUAAGACUGGGAUAACUCCGGGAAACCGGGGCUAAUACCGGAUGGUUGUUUGAAUCGCAUGGUUCAAACAUAAAAGGUGGCUUCGGCUACCACUUACAGAUGGACCCGCGGCGCAUUAGCUAGUUGGUGAGGUAACGGCUCACCAAGGCAACGAUGCGUAGCCGACCUGAGAGGGUGAUCGGCCACACUGGGACUGAGACACGGCCCAGACUCCUACGGGAGGCAGCAGUAGGGAAUCUUCCGCAAUGGACGAAAGUCUGACGGAGCAACGCCGCGUGAGUGAUGAAGGUUUUCGGAUCGUAAAGCUCUGUUGUUAGGGAAGAACAAGUACCGUUCGAAUAG
Molecule: ribosomal RNA, 449 nt
Filed under: Bacillus subtilis
Lineage: Bacteria; Bacillati; Bacillota; Bacilli; Caryophanales; Bacillaceae
Description: bacterial SSU rRNA
Rfam family: Bacterial small subunit ribosomal RNA
Source: RNAcentral